CAAAAUGCUUCUUUAGAAGCCACAUAAAACUGUAAAAGACAAUAUAU
Non-coding RNA from Podiceps cristatus (great crested grebe), 47 nucleotides. NCBI's taxonomy places the organism in Eukaryota, Metazoa, Chordata, Aves, Podicipediformes, Podicipedidae. The record is from Rfam.